AGUUUGAUCCUGGCUCAGGACGAACGCUGGCGGCGUACUUAACACAUGCAAGUCGAGCGGUAAGGCCCUUCGGGGUACACGAGCGGCGAACGCGGUGAGUAACAGGUGUGUGAUCUGCCCUGCACUUCGGGAUAAGCCUGGGAAACUGGGUCUAAUACCGGAUAUGACCUUCGGCUGCAUGGCUGAGGGUGGAAAGGUUUACUGGUGCAGGAUGGGCCCGCGGCCUAUCAGCUUGUUGGUGGGGUAAUGGCCAACCAAGGCGACGACGGGUAGCCGACCUGAGAGGGUGACCGGCCACACUGGGACUGAGACACGGCCCAGACUCAGUACGGGAGGCAGCAGUGGGGAAUAUUGCACAAUGGGCGAAAGCCUGAUGCAGCGAUGCCGCGUGAGGGAUGACGGUCCUUCGGGUUGUAAACCUCUUUCAGCAGGGACGAAGCGAAAGUGACGGUACCUGCAGAAGAAGCACCGGACAACUACGUGCCAGCAGCCGCGGUAAUACGUAGGGUGCAAGCGUUGUCCGGAAUUACUGGGCGUUAAAGAGCUCGUAGGCGGUUUGUCGCGUCGUCUGUGAAAACUCGAGGCUCAAACUCGAGCCUUGCAGGCGAUACGGGCAGACUUGAGUACUGCAGGGG
This 635-nucleotide ribosomal RNA is filed under the name uncultured bacterium. RNAcentral describes it as "bacterial SSU rRNA". It matches the Rfam family "Bacterial small subunit ribosomal RNA", at positions 10 to 657 of the family's 1533-position model. The record is from RNAcentral.